GUCACGUGCUUUCUAUCCACAGAUUCUUUUUUUCAUCAAGAACUGAUGCUACGGAGAGCUAGAUAAUGGAAUAGCAGGAUGGAAUAGUCAGAUAACGUUGCCUUCUGGCUAUUAGUCCAAGUGUUUAUCUCGUAGUCUUUCUCAAAAUUUGAGUGUGGGUCUUGUUCUCCCUAAGUCUAGUGGGGCUGUAUGUACUUUUUUAUUAUGAUUUUGGAUUGCCAAUCUUGAAGUUCACAUGAUAGGACAAUUUUCUUUGAAAAUCAAAGGUUGGUUGUUGUCUGAUAGAAGCCAAUCGCUUUGUUUGUUGCAUAUCAGAUUAGGAUGCUGUGGAAGCUCUGUAUUAUAUGCCCCCUAUGAAGAUCGCUGUUGAUAGCUUUGUUAUGGCGUUUUUAAGGUUCUUUUGGCCAGCCGAUUUUUAGGCUUAGUUUUGCAUUUUGGAAAGGCUUGCCAAUUUGAUCUUUUCUCUCAUUGAUCGGUUGUGUAGUUCCAGGGUUGGGAAGACCGCCGUUGCUGCUUGUGGUUCUCGUCUCCUAGGGUUUCUAGUGAUAAGAAGCUGUGGGCUCUGUUUGUUGGAGCUGGCCUGCUGGGUCUUUGGUUGUAAUCUAAGCUAUUAGGAGGCGUUUUGUCUAUAAUACCCUCUGGGCCUUGUUAUGCAAUGAAAUUUGUAUGUAAAAAAAUUUUAUCAAGUAUUAUAU
This 695-nucleotide unclassified non-coding RNA is filed under the name Hevea brasiliensis (rubber tree). The record is from RNAcentral. Lineage: Eukaryota; Viridiplantae; Streptophyta; Magnoliopsida; Malpighiales; Euphorbiaceae.